GACGAACGCUGGCGGCGUGCCUAAUACAUGCAAGUCGAACGCUUCUUUCCUCCCGAGUGCUUGCACUCAAUUGGAAAGAGGAGUGGCGGACGGGUGAGUAACACGUGGGUAACCUACCCAUCAGAUGGGGAUAACACUUGGAAACAGGUGCUAAUACCGCAUAACAGUUUAUGCCGCAUGGCAUAAGAGUGAAGGGCGCUUUCGGGUGUCGAUGAUGGAUGGACCCGCGGUGCAUUAGCUAGUUGGUGAGGUAACGGCUCACCAAGGCCACGAUGCAUAGCCGACCUGAGAGGGUGAUCGGCCACACUGGAACUGAGACACGGCCCAGACUCCUACGGGAGGCAGCAGUAGGGAAUCUUCGGCAAUGGACGAAAGUCUGACCGAGCAACGCCGCGUGAGUGAAGAAGGUUUUCGGAUCGUAAAACUCUGUUGUUAGAGAAGAACAAGGACGUUAGUAACUGAACGUCCCCUGACGGUAUCUAACCAGAAAGCCACGGCUAACUACGUG
This 508-nucleotide ribosomal RNA is filed under the name uncultured bacterium. RNAcentral describes it as "partial 16S ribosomal RNA". It matches the Rfam family "Bacterial small subunit ribosomal RNA", at positions 28 to 507 of the family's 1533-position model. The record is from RNAcentral.